UGGGGAAUAUUGCACAAUGGGCGCAAGCCUGAUGCAGCCAUGCCGCGUGUAUGAAGAAGGCCUUCGGGUUGUAAAGUACUUUCAGCGGGGAGGAAGGGAGUAAAGUUAAUACCUUUGCUCAUUGACGUUACCCGCAGAAGAAGCACCGGCUAACUCCGUGCCAGCAGCCGCGGUAAUACGGAGGGUGCAAGCGUUAAUCGGAAUUACUGGGCGUAAAGCGCAAGCAGGCGGUUUGUUAAGUCAGAUGUGAAAUCCCCGGGCUCAACCUGGGAACUGCAUCUGAUACUGGCAAGCUUGAGUCUCGUAGAGGGGGGUAGAAUUCCAGGUGUAGCGGUGAAAUGCGUAGAGAUCUGGAGGAAUACCGGUGGCGAAGGCGGCCCCCUGGACGAAGACUGACGCUCAGGUGCGAAAGCGUGGGGAGCAAACAGG
Molecule: ribosomal RNA, 429 nt
Filed under: Chloroflexota bacterium
Lineage: Bacteria; Bacillati; Chloroflexota
Description: Chloroflexi bacterium partial 16S ribosomal RNA
Rfam family: Bacterial small subunit ribosomal RNA
Source: RNAcentral